This 45-nucleotide non-coding RNA is filed under the name Schistosoma mattheei. The record is from RNAcentral. Lineage: Eukaryota; Metazoa; Platyhelminthes; Trematoda; Strigeidida; Schistosomatidae.
AUCCAGCUGAUGAGUCCUAAAUAGGACGAAACUCUCGUCCUGUAU